RNAcentral lists this ribosomal RNA (256 nucleotides) under uncultured bacterium. RNAcentral describes it as "partial 16S ribosomal RNA". It matches the Rfam family "Bacterial small subunit ribosomal RNA", at positions 521 to 776 of the family's 1533-position model. The record is from RNAcentral.
UAAUACGUAGGGCGCAAGCGUUGUCCGGAUUUAUUGGGCGUAAAGAGCUCGUAGGUGGUCUGUCGCGUCCGCUGUGAAAACCCGAGGCUCAACCUCGGGCCUGCAGUGGGUACGGGCAGACUAGAGUGCGGUAGGGGAGACUGGAAUUCCUGGUGUAGCGGUGGAAUGCGCAGAUAUCAGGAGGAACACCGAUGGCGAAGGCAGGUCUCUGGGCCGCAACUGACACUGAGGAGCGAAAGCAUGGGGAGCGAACAGG